Long non-coding RNA from Nomascus leucogenys (northern white-cheeked gibbon), 463 nucleotides. RefSeq lists it as uncharacterized. The transcript has 3 exons. The record is from RefSeq and is a predicted model, not a curated record. NCBI's taxonomy places the organism in Eukaryota, Metazoa, Chordata, Mammalia, Primates, Hylobatidae.
GGAAAGAAGCAGAGGUAGCCAUAGAAACAACUCUUGAGGGCUUACAGCUUAGGAGUCUAAAUGCACAUGGAACUUAAGAGCUUGGUUCUACUCUACCUUUAAGCUAGAAUGGAGAUGAUUCCCAAAAGACCUUACAAGGCAUUUACUGAAGAUAGCAAAGCCUCCCAGAGCCUGAUUUCUGAAUGAUUGUCCAUUGCCAUAGUCACCAGGUGUGGUGAAACGAGGCUUCACCCGAGUCUACAACCUUAGACACGUUUCUCCACAAUGCUACUCUGAGAUCAAGAUCUGAACUGUACAUCCUGGAGACACAGCAACACAAGGGAAUAAAAUAUUAUACAACUGUCAGAGGUAUUGUGGAGUUCAAAUUAGAUGAUAUAGAAUGACACCAAGGAAAAUACAUUGUGAAAUUUGACGAGAUUCUGAACUCAAAAAGAGAUGCUGCUCUAUUCAUUUCAAAGCAACU